This 503-nucleotide ribosomal RNA is filed under the name uncultured bacterium. Its description in RNAcentral is "partial 16S ribosomal RNA". It matches the Rfam family "Bacterial small subunit ribosomal RNA", at positions 30 to 523 of the family's 1533-position model. The record is from RNAcentral.
AUUGAACGCUGGCGGCAGGCUUAACACAUGCAAGUCGAGCGGGGUGAUGGUGCUUGCACUAUCACUUAGCGGCGGACGGGUGAGUAAUGCUUAGGAAUCUGCCUAUUAGUGGGGGACAACAUCUCGAAAGGGAUGCUAAUACCGCAUACGUCCUACGGGAGAAAGCAGGGGAUCACUUGUGACCUUGCGCUAAUAGAUGAGCCUAAGUCGGAUUAGCUAGUUGGUGGGGUAAAGGCCCACCAAGGCGACGAUCUGUAGCGGGUCUGAGAGGAUGAUCCGCCACACUGGGACUGAGACACGGCCCAGACUCCUACGGGAGGCAGCAGUGGGGAAUAUUGGACAAUGGGGGGAACCCUGAUCCAGCCAUGCCGCGUGUGUGAAGAAGGCCUUAUGGUUGUAAAGCACUUUAAGCGAGGAGGAGGCUCUUUUGGUUAAUACCCAAGAUGAGUGGACGUUACUCGCAGGAUAAGCACCGGCUAACUCUGUGCCAGCCGCCGCGGUAA